AAAAACAAUGGAGCAUCUGAAGGGAAUUACUAUCUAUUGCAUGGUGAAUUCAUUGAACCACCCAAAUAAUCACAUUGCUUCUAAAACAGCUCUUCCAUAUACUCAUGACCAUAAAUUAGUUGUAUUGUAAUUUUAACCAAUCAAGCAAACAUAAAACAAUUACAAAAUUCAGCCAUCCAACAUAUUUUCAGUUAUUGCUUUUACAUCAACAUGAAAUUUGAUGCAUCUUCAAUUCACAUUUGCUUCUAAUCACGUAUCAAUUCAAAUUGUAUGCCAUAAACCUACGUAUUUCAGCCAAUAAAUCAGUUUGCCAAUAAUAUCGGCUGAUAUGAGCCUUUCAUGAACAUAUCGCUAUUGCCAUUAUUUUUGUAGAUAUGAAAACUUUUAUUUUACAGAAUAAACAAUGCAUAAAAACACUUUGGCUGCUGGAAAUGUUGUCAUUAUGCAGUCUGUCCAGCAGACGGUAGAACAACAGCAUGGUUUACAAAGCUGUGGAGCAUGGCUGGGACUCCCAUCACCCACUGGUCACACUGGAGGUACAAUGACCAAUUGUGAUUCAUUUUAUCAGUCUGGGUGAAUGGUUUACAGACAAGUGGUGUAGACGACGCCAGUUAGACACAAUAAAAAUUGGUCGAAGUCUAUUUUAUGCAAAUGCUGAAUGACACAACACUGACUGCCAAUCGGACUGAAAGCACAGUGAUGUACGUUGGUUUGUUCUUGGCUAUAUUUAAAAUUAUUUAUAAUAAAGUUAGUUUUUAACAAUAAGGGGUUCCUGGACUCAACGUUAAGUCCAAAUGAAUUAGCUUUAUUUUAUGUUUCUGUACCACGGAGAGUUAAACUGUAAAACAUCAAGCCUCAAUUAUAUUUUUUUGUCAUCACAGUUUGAUAAUAAAAUGUUAGGAAUCAUUGCUAUUUUUUAUAUAUUUGUCAGCAGAUAUAUCUUUUUUUUUUUUUUUUUUUAGCCCUAAGAACAGUGUCGUACCUGCCCUCCAAAAAUCCAGAUUUUGGUCAAACUCUAAUCUGUGUUUGUGUUGUUACUGUGUGACCACCACCAGAUGGCAGACCAGCUAUGUUUGUAUUCUUGUUGCAAGUUUUUUUUUCCUUUUGUGCACAGGAGUAAGCAAAGUUAGCAAAUGCUUUCACAAAGCAACAUCUUGCUUAUACGUGGGUGUUUCUACACACACAGGAUGACACCUGCAGGACUUUUGAGGAUGUUUAACAUAAAUCCUAAAUAUUACAUAAGUUUGAAAGAUUUUAAAAGAGUUUGUGCACAACAGGAACUCUUAGAAUGAACGCACUUUUUAAAAAUAGAU
Thalassophryne amazonica is the source of this 1313-nucleotide long non-coding RNA. RefSeq lists it as uncharacterized. NCBI's taxonomy places the organism in Eukaryota, Metazoa, Chordata, Actinopteri, Batrachoidiformes, Batrachoididae. The transcript is spliced from 3 exons. The record is from RefSeq and is a predicted model, not a curated record.